GCUCAGAACGAACGCUGGCGGCAGGCUUAACACAUGCAAGUCGAGCGCCCCGCAAGGGGAGCGGCAGACGGGUGAGUAACGCGUGGGAAUCUACCCUUGACUACGGAAUAACGCAGGGAAACUUGUGCUAAUACCGUAUGUGUCCUUCGGGAGAAAGAUUUAUCGGUCAAGGAUGAGCCCGCGUUGGAUUAGCUAGUUGGUGGGGUAAAGGCCUACCAAGGCGACGAUCCAUAGCUGGUCUGAGAGGAUGAUCAGCCACAUUGGGACUGAGACACGGCCCAAACUCCUACGGGAGGCAGCWGUGGGGAAUAUUGGACAAUGGGCGCAAGCCUGAUCCAGCCAUGCCGCGUGAGUGAUGAAGGCCCUAGGGUUGUAAAGCUCUUUCACCGGAGAAGAUAAUGAC
RNAcentral lists this ribosomal RNA (403 nucleotides) under Rhizobium leguminosarum. Its description in RNAcentral is "bacterial SSU rRNA". It matches the Rfam family "Bacterial small subunit ribosomal RNA", at positions 22 to 455 of the family's 1533-position model. Lineage: Bacteria; Pseudomonadati; Pseudomonadota; Alphaproteobacteria; Hyphomicrobiales; Rhizobiaceae. The record is from RNAcentral.